RNAcentral lists this ribosomal RNA (501 nucleotides) under uncultured bacterium. RNAcentral describes it as "partial 16S ribosomal RNA". It matches the Rfam family "Bacterial small subunit ribosomal RNA", at positions 30 to 523 of the family's 1533-position model. The record is from RNAcentral.
AUUGAACGCUGGCGGCAGGCUUAACACAUGCAAGUCGAGCGGGGGAAGGUAGCUUGCUACCGGACCUAGCGGCGGACGGGUGAGUAAUGCUUAGGAAUCUGCCUAUUAGUGGGGGACAACAUCUCGAAAGGGAUGCUAAUACCGCAUACGUCCUACGGGAGAAAGCAGGGGAUCUUCGGACCUUGCGCUAAUAGAUGAGCCUAAGUCGGAGUAGCUAGUUGGUGGGGUAAAGGCCUACCAAGGCGACGAUCUGUAGCGGGUCUGAGAGGAUGAUCCGCCACACUGGGACUGAGACACGGCCCAGACUCCUACGGGAGGCAGCAGUGGGGAAUAUUGGACAAUGGGGGGAACCCUGAUCCAGCCAUGCCGCGUGUGUGAAGGAGGCCUUAUGGUUGUAAAGCACUUUAAGCGAGGAGGAGGAGCUUCAGGUUAAUACCCUGGAUGCUUGGACGUUACUCGCAGAAUAAGCACCGGCUAACUCUGUGCCAGCCGCCGCCGUAA